RNAcentral lists this transfer RNA (73 nucleotides) under human gut metagenome. It matches the Rfam family "tRNA". Rfam says of the family: Transfer RNA (tRNA) molecules are approximately 80 nucleotides in length. Their secondary structure includes four short double-helical elements and three loops (D, anti-codon, and T loops). Further hydrogen bonds mediate the characteristic L-shaped molecular structure. tRNAs have two regions of fundamental functional importance: the anti-codon, which is responsible for specific mRNA codon recognition, and the 3' end, to which the tRNAs corresponding amino acid is attached (by aminoacyl-tRNA synthetases). tRNAs cope with the degeneracy of the genetic code in two manners: having more than one tRNA (with a specific anti-codon) for a particular amino acid; and 'wobble' base-pairing, i.e. permitting non-standard base-pairing at the 3rd anti-codon position. RNAcentral also lists the same sequence under 2 other names. The record is from RNAcentral.
GAGGCAUAGCUCAGUUUGGUUAGAGCGCUACCUUGACAUGGUAGAGGUCAUAGGUUCGAGUCCUAUUGUCUCC